Molecule: ribosomal RNA, 405 nt
Filed under: uncultured bacterium
Lineage: Bacteria
Description: partial 16S ribosomal RNA
Rfam family: Bacterial small subunit ribosomal RNA
Source: RNAcentral
AUUGAACGCUAGCGGGAUGCUUUACACAUGCAAGUCGAACGAGGGGCGGAGGGGUGAGUAAUAUAGCGGAACGUGCCCAGUAGCGGGGGAUAUCUACUCGAAAGAGGGGCUAACACCGCAAACUCUUGGAGCGGCCGAUAUGGGAUUAGCUAGUUGGUGGGGAAAAGGCUCACCAAGGCAGAGAUCCCUAGCUGGUUUGAGAGGAAGAACAGCCACACUGGGACUGAGACACGGCCCAGACUCCUACGGGAGGCAGCAGUGGGGAAUAUUGGCCAAUGGGGGAAACCCUGAUCCAGCCAUCCCGCGUGUAUGAGAAGGCCUUCGGGUUGUAAAGUACUUUUGGCAGAGAAGCGGUAUCUGCAGAAUAAGCACCGGCUAACUACGUGCCAGCAGCCGCGGUAAUAC